UAUUAACGGGCAUAUGUUUGUAGACUCAAACUUUAUACGCUUUAAAGUUCAAAAACUUGUAUUUACUGGCAUGCAAUGGAGACCUCAACAGUAUAGAGUAUUGUUGUUUAAAGUAUAGUUCCGGUCUUACUGUAUAGCCUACUGUGGAGCUUGAACCCCACUUUGUCGGUGGCAGCUCAAUAGCAGUAAGAACUAAACCGGUUUCUGAUUACUGAAACUUAAGUACAGGAAUAAUGCCUCCUGGAAGAUAUUGGCGCUGGGAGGCGAUUCAAGCGAUUAUCAUCAGUAGAAUUAUUGGUUGUUGAGAAUAUAAAAGGCGACCACAUCGGCCACAUAAUCACCAACGUAGCCUAUUACAGAUAAAUCUCAACGAAAUGGAUCGAAAGAUGGUUUUUGCUCUUCUUCUCUUGGUGGUUCUUCAAGUCUCUACGGUUUCCCAUGGAUGGGUAAGGACUGCGUUGGGGGCAGCAGGGUAUAUACACCGUCGUUAUAAUCAAAAUCCCAGUGAUCAGCUGCCUUUUAACGAAAUGGAUAACGAUGCGGAACAAGAGAUGGAAGGGGGGAGUGUUAAAGAUUUUAGGUGGCGUUGAACGGAAUAAGAGUCAACCACUCAGUGAGAAGGUGAAGUUAUCACUGAGCGAAAGGAAUUGUUGAUUCAAUAAACAACAAUAAUAAUAUGU
Non-coding RNA from Ciona intestinalis (vase tunicate), 680 nucleotides. NCBI's taxonomy places the organism in Eukaryota, Metazoa, Chordata, Ascidiacea, Phlebobranchia, Cionidae. The record is from RefSeq and is a predicted model, not a curated record.